This 2132-nucleotide long non-coding RNA is filed under the name Oreochromis niloticus (Nile tilapia). Its description in RNAcentral is "lncRNA (ENSONIG00000040572.1)". The record is from RNAcentral. Lineage: Eukaryota; Metazoa; Chordata; Actinopteri; Cichliformes; Cichlidae.
AUUCGUCAGAUUUAUUAUUAUUAAGUGUGCCUGUGCCAAGUGGCACACUUAUUACUAUUCGUCGGAUUUAUUAUUAAGUGUGCCUAUGCCAAGAGGCACACUUAUUACUAUUCGUCGGAUUUAUUAUUGUUAUUAAGUGUGCCUAUGCCAAGAGGCACACUUAUUACUAUUCGUCGGAUUUAUUGUGUGGAUGCUUUAAGGCAUCCACACUAUUGAGUUCCUGUUUCUCUUUAUUCUUUAUUGUGUGGAUGCUUUAAGGCAUCCACACUAUUGAAUUCCUGUUUCUCUUUAUUCUUUAUUAUUAUUAUACUUUAUUAUUAUUAAGUGUGCCUAUGCCAAGAGGCACACUUAUUACUAUUCCUCGGAUUUAUUAUUCUUAUUAUUAAGUGUGCCUAUGCCAAGAGGCACACUUAUUACUAUUCCUCGGAUUUAUUAAGUGUGCCUAUGCCAAGAGGCACAUUAUUUCUGCUAAUGUGUGCUAUGACUUUUGGUGUUUAUUACUAUUAUACUUUUUAAAAUAUUACACUUUUUUCCUUUAAUUUGUCCCAUUGAAAUGAAUGGAAAACUUCCACAAUUCUGCUAAAAUUUGCUUGUUUUUGAAACUUAACUACUCCCUCAGUUUUCAGCCGAUUUUCUCAGUUCAAACUCUAAACUGUUCUGCUCUUUCUGCUAAUUCCAGCUAUGACUUUUGGUGUUUAUUACUAUUAUACUUUUUAAAAUAUUACACUUUUUUUCCUUUAAUUUGUCCCAUUGAAAUGAAUGGGAAACUUCCACAAUUCUGCUAAAACUUGCUUGUCUUUGAAACUUAACUACGUCCUCAUGCUUUCACCUAGAAACUCCAUUCAAACUUUAAAAUGUUCUCAGAUUAUUGGGCUAUUCCUGUCUGAUUCAGCUUUUUCAGAUCUUCUACCGUUUUAAUCUUAUCUCUCUUUAAGUUUUCAGUUGCAAAAUUGUGAUUUUUCAGAAAAUACAUGCGUUGCUAUGGUUGCUAUGCAAUUAAGUCAGAGUGAGUGCUGGUCCGUUCUGAAUUUUCUCUUUAUGUCUGAACAACUUCUUUCUACUCGCUCAAUCUCCACUCAACCCCCACAAAUUAUACAUCAAAACGUAGGAAUUUUUGCUGGCUUUCAGACAAUGUUACUAUCUUUUUUGUGAGAUUUACUGUUUUUUCGCAAUUUGCCUCGAAGUGACACAAGGUCUGGAUACUCCCCAUUCAAAGUCUAUGGGGAGGUUUUGAAAUUCAGAGCUGAAAUUCUGUAACGGGAGGCAUUUUCAAAUCGCCAUAUCUCUUUAACAAAGCAAAGUUAGGACAUGAGGCUUGUGCCAAUAUAUCUUCAGACACUGCUGACACUCACAGUGGAAGCAGUUUUUACAAUUAUCUUACCGUUGAGCAAUGAAUUAUGUUUGUUUGAGGGGUGGAAAUCUGUCCUCCUCUCAGUCUUCAAACUCCGAAAAUGAAGCCGUUUCUUCUCUCGUCAUAUCUCCGCGAUGGAGGUACAAAGAGCUAUGAAAAUCGCAGUCAAAGUACACCAAAGUCCGCUGAUUCACCCAGUACAAGAAUUAUGCUGCUAGCUCUCCUAGUGUUUGAGUUACACGACGUUUUGUAACUCCAAAAAACGGCGUUUUUCGCCUCUCACCGCGAUCUAAUUGUGACUGGUCAUCAAUCUGUUUUUCAGACCCCCGUCCCCUGUCCAGGUGGCGCAAUCAGUAAUGACACGGCUCUGCAGCUCACAGGUCGUGGGUUCAAUCCCACCUUGGUCCACAUGUUGUUUUUUUUUCACUACAAAUUUAUACACUAUCACAAACCUGUAAUUUAUAUUGCUAAUUUUUUUCACUACAAAUGAGUAGUGCAAAAACAUACUAUGUCUGCAACAUCACAGUAUAUCUGUUAUGUUAUAGUAUUACUACUAAAUCACAGUAUUUCUGCCAAUUCAAGGAGGCUGACUGUUACUAAGUGCAUCAGUGUACAUAGGUCAUCUGUUGUGUUGGAGUGCCCUCUUGUGGCGCCUUUUGGGUAGUGCCUUAGUAAACGUGAACACUGCAAAGAAGUGGUAUCAGACUGGUUUGUAGUGGAGGAAUUUGUUGCCAGUUUCUUUCAUCUUUAAUCCGUAUUCAUGUUGUAAUGUAGUAACUUU